ACUUCCCAGAUGUCCCAGCCAGGGGUUGUGGGUCCAAAUUGUCUCCCCUCCCACCUAUUGUCCUAAUAUACCUGUCCAUCUUCUUUAAGGAUGUGGAUUUCCUGAGGCCAGGGACCAUGUCUUGCUCAUCUCUGGAUCCCCCCAGGUUUGCCACACAGCCUGGAUGCCGGGGAGAAGGUGGUGAAUGGAGACGUAGCCCCUGACCUCUUGGAAUGCACUGCCUAGGGGACGGGAUGAACACGCACGCAAGCAAUGCCUUCAGGGAGAGCCCUUCCAUCCAUCUGCAGUUCCCCGUGGGCUUGCCCUCAACCAAAGGCCUCCCUGUCAGUCAUUGACACCUAGUCUGAAUGGAAGCCCCGCGAUGCCUUUCCCAGGUGCCCUUGCAGCCUCUGUGGCUGUUUGUUGCCUCCUGGAGCAGGUAAGAGAAGUGAUCAUUCAAAGGAGAGGCUUCCUGGGGCCUCUGAUGUCCAGCCAUGUGGGUGGGCAAUUGUGCUGUCUACCUCCUGGCCCCUGUACUGUGCAGACCCCACA
Molecule: long non-coding RNA, 531 nt
Filed under: Homo sapiens (human)
Lineage: Eukaryota; Metazoa; Chordata; Mammalia; Primates; Hominidae
Description: HSALNT0290747
Source: RNAcentral